This 139-nucleotide small nucleolar RNA is filed under the name Oryza meridionalis. RNAcentral describes it as "Small nucleolar RNA Z247". It matches the Rfam family "Small nucleolar RNA Z247". Rfam says of the family: Z247 is a member of the C/D class of snoRNA which contain the C (UGAUGA) and D (CUGA) box motifs. Most of the members of the box C/D family function in directing site-specific 2'-O-methylation of substrate RNAs. The record is from Rfam by way of RNAcentral. Lineage: Eukaryota; Viridiplantae; Streptophyta; Magnoliopsida; Poales; Poaceae.
UCAAUAGAUUAAGAGGAAUUAGUUGCUUAUAUUCUCAAUGGUUUAGAUAAGGAUUUUGAACCUGUUGUAUCUGCUAUUGUGGCACGCAAUGAAUCUGUCACAAUGGGAGAUGUAUACUCUAUGUUGCUGAACUUUGAGA